GUGCCAGCAGCCGCGGUAAUACGUAGGGCGCAAGCGUUAUCCGGAAUUAUUGGGCGUAAAGAGCUCGUAGGCGGUUUGUCGCGUCUGCCGUGAAAGUCCGGGGCUCAACUCCGGAUCUGCGGUGGGUACGGGCAGACUAGAGUGAUGUAUGGGAGACUGGAAUUCCUGGGGUAUCGCUGAAAUGCGCACAUAUCUCGAGGAACACCGAUGGCGAAAGCAGGUCUCUGGGCAUUAACUGACGCUGAGGAGCGAAAGCAGGGAGCGAACAGGAUUAGAUACCGUGGUAGUUCAUGCCGUAAAAGUUGGGCACUAGGUGUGGGGGACAUUCCACGUUUUCGCGCCGUAGCUAACGCAUUAAGUGCCCCGCCUGGGGAGUACGGCCGCAAGGCUAAAACUCAAAGGAAUUGACGGGGGCCCGCACAAGCGGCGGAGCAUGCGGAUUAAUUCGAUGCAACGCGAAGAACCUUACCAAGGCUUGACAUGAACCGGAAAGAUCUGGAAACAGGUCCCCCACUUGUGGUCGGUUUACAGGUGGUGCAUGGUUGUCGUCAGCUCGUGUCGUGAGAUGUUGGGUUAAGUCCCGCAACGAGCGCAACCCUCGUUCUAUGUUGCCAGCACGUGAUGGUGGGGACUCAUAGGAGACUGCCGGGGUCAACUCGGAGGAAGGUGGGGACGACGUCAAAUCAUCAUGCCCCUUAUGUCUUGGGCUUCACGCAUGCUACAAUGGCCGGUACAAAGGGUUGCGAUACUGUGAGGUGGAGCUAAUCCCAAAAAGCCGGUCUCAGUUCGGAUUGGGGUCUGCAACUCGACCCCAUGAAGUCGGAGUCGCUAGUAAUCGCAGAUCAGCAACGCUGCGGUGAAUACGUUCCCGGGCCUUGUACACACCGCCCGU
This 892-nucleotide ribosomal RNA is filed under the name Arthrobacter sp. C7(2014). RNAcentral describes it as "bacterial SSU rRNA". It matches the Rfam family "Bacterial small subunit ribosomal RNA", at positions 505 to 1397 of the family's 1533-position model. The record is from RNAcentral. Lineage: Bacteria; Bacillati; Actinomycetota; Actinomycetes; Micrococcales; Micrococcaceae.